This is a long non-coding RNA of Hyposmocoma kahamanoa, 505 nucleotides long. RefSeq lists it as uncharacterized. The transcript is spliced from 2 exons. The record is from RefSeq and is a predicted model, not a curated record. Lineage: Eukaryota; Metazoa; Arthropoda; Insecta; Lepidoptera; Cosmopterigidae.
GUACCAUGAAUAAAAAUGGUAUAAAAUGAAAAUAUUAUAGUUUAUCCGCUUGUCCCGCUAUAGGUGUUCUUGUGGUAAAUUAGAUUCGAUAUUUGCUCUAGUAUGCAACUUUUAUUAAUGAACCCAGACCAUUGGACUGCUUUAUGUGAUUCAUAAUCAUAAAACAUAAGAGAUGAGUCGAAGUGCGGCUCAAAGCUGCUACUCCCACUCCCAGCAGUCUGCAAGGUGGCUUGCAAUUGCCCAUAAAGUUCUGAAAAAUGAUUUGCUUGUCCCUAUAUGCCCUGGUCGCUUCAGCCACUCUUUUGGCGUGCUUCCCAGUCUGCUAUAGGCAAUUUGAGAUUCACAAAUUCCUUAGGUGCAUUAAAAAAUUUUAAGGAAAUAAAGGCACCGCAAUGAUUAUUUGCAUGACUGUAUUAACCGCUUUAUUAGCUGUUGGCUGCAUUUCGUGUGGGCCAGUCAUAGCGGAACAUUACUGGCCGCUUAGAAAAAAAAUGACUAUUACACC